Molecule: ribosomal RNA, 490 nt
Filed under: uncultured bacterium
Lineage: Bacteria
Description: bacterial SSU rRNA
Rfam family: Bacterial small subunit ribosomal RNA
Source: RNAcentral
AAGCAACGCGAAGAACCUUACCAGGUCUUGACAUCCCAUUGACCGCUAUGGAGACAUAGCUUUCCCUUCGGGGACAGUGGUGACAGGUGGUGCAUGGUUGUCGUCAGCUCGUGUCGUGAGAUGUUGGGUUAAGUCCCGCAACGAGCGCAACCCUUGAUCUUAGUUGCCAUCAUUCAGUUGGGCACUCUAAGGUGACUGCCGGUGAUAAACCGGAGGAAGGUGGGGAUGACGUCAAAUCAUCAUGCCCCUUAUGACCUGGGCUACACACGUGCUACAAUGGACGGUACAAACGGUUGCCAACCCGCGAGGGGGAGCUAAUCCGAUAAAACCGUUCUCAGUUCGGAUUGUAGGCUGCAACUCGCCUACAUGAAGCCGGAAUCGCUAGUACCGGAUCAGCCAUGCCCGGUGACAUACGUUCCCGGGCUGCACACACGCCCGUCGCACCUCUACCUUUGUAAACCCGCAGGCGGCCAGGAAACCUUUUGGGGCC